CUCUCUUCUUUUUUAUGUUAUUCUUCAUCUUUUUCUCUAUCGAUCCCAAUUCAGAAGAACUGGUUUGAAUCUUGUGUGAGUAAGCUUAGUAACACGGUAGACUGUCAGUGAUGAAGUUAGUUUAGCUUUGUAUGAAGAAGAAUUUGAUGCUGCUAAAGAGAAUUAGAAGUUAGGUUUUCUGAAGUAGGGUUUGUGUAGAACCGGCGAAGAUAUAGUGUUAAUAAUGGAUGAAGAGAAGAGGGGUUGUUGUUGAAUUGAUGUCAUAAAGCUGUUCAAUUGUGGAAUCGAAAGAAAAAGUUAGUCGUUAUUAACAACAAUCGACUCAAAGGAUUAUCCAGUGGAUUGAACAUCUCGAGGUAGGUGAGGCUUGUCAUUAAAAGAGAGUGCGGGUAAAAUAAGGUACUGAUAAGGUACAUAUCGUUUAUGACUUGAGGACGAAAACCUCAUGGGCGCUUUAAUGAUCAUUGAAGAAUCCGCAACAGUCAUGCCUUGCUACUCCGAAGGAAAACGUCGCUCAACUACUGUUUAUGUUGUGAAUGUGUGCCGGUUUAUUGUUUCAGAGACAGAUCAAGUUAUGCACGUGGCGAUGAAAGCUUUGAGGAGUUGGUUAGCUUCCGCUAUGUAUAUUUUGUGUUUAUAUUGUAUUUGUAAAUCAACUCACUAUUAAUUAUGUAACACUUGAGAGGAGUUCAUUUGGAAAUAAAGAUGUAUGAAUCUGUUAAGAACAAAUGAAGUUAAUGAUGUUAUCAUUGAAA
Papaver somniferum (opium poppy) is the source of this 755-nucleotide long non-coding RNA. RefSeq lists it as uncharacterized. The record is from RefSeq and is a predicted model, not a curated record. The transcript has 4 exons. NCBI's taxonomy places the organism in Eukaryota, Viridiplantae, Streptophyta, Magnoliopsida, Ranunculales, Papaveraceae.